This 373-nucleotide ribosomal RNA is filed under the name Parastacus brasiliensis. Its description in RNAcentral is "partial 12S ribosomal RNA". Lineage: Eukaryota; Metazoa; Arthropoda; Malacostraca; Decapoda; Parastacidae. The record is from RNAcentral.
CCCUAUUAUACUUGACAUAAAGUAGACAAUACUUGAAUAUUAAUAGCUAUAUUCUUUAAAUUCAAAGAAUUUGGCGGUGCUUUAGUCUAGUUAGAGGAACCUGUUAUAUAAACGAUACAACACGCAAUAUCUUACUAAUCUUAGUUUGCCUGUAUACCGUCAUUACUAGAUAAUUUUUACAGAAAAAAUUAUUGAAACGGAAAGAGUCGAGUAUAUUAGAUCAAGGUGCAGCUUAUAGGUUAGAAAUAAUGGGUUACAAUAAAAUUUACUUAAUGGAUUAGAUACGUAAGAUAUCUAUGAAAGCGGAUUUAAUUGUAAUAAAAGUUUAAUAAGCUUUUAUGAUAAAAGAACUAAAUUAUGUACAUAUCGCCCG